Molecule: ribosomal RNA, 253 nt
Filed under: uncultured bacterium
Lineage: Bacteria
Description: partial 16S ribosomal RNA
Rfam family: Bacterial small subunit ribosomal RNA
Source: RNAcentral
UACAGAGGUUGCAAGCGUUGUUCGGAAUUACUGGGCGUAAAGGGCGCGUAGGCGGUUCGAUAAGUCCCGGGUGAAAGCCCCCGGCUCAACUGGGGAACUGCACGGGAAACUGACGGACUUGAGUUCGGGAGAGGGAAGCGGAAUUCCGGGUGUAGCGGUGAAAUGCGUAGAUAUCCGGAGGAACACCGGUGGCGAAGGCGGCUUCCUGGACCGACACUGACGCUGAGGCGCGAAAGCUAGGGGAGCAAACGGG